RNAcentral lists this transfer RNA (70 nucleotides) under Camelus bactrianus (Bactrian camel). It matches the Rfam family "tRNA". Rfam says of the family: Transfer RNA (tRNA) molecules are approximately 80 nucleotides in length. Their secondary structure includes four short double-helical elements and three loops (D, anti-codon, and T loops). RNAcentral also lists the same sequence under 2 other names. The record is from Rfam by way of RNAcentral. Lineage: Eukaryota; Metazoa; Chordata; Mammalia; Artiodactyla; Camelidae.
GGGGAUAGCUCAGUGGUAGAGCACAUGCUUAGCAUGCAGAAGGUCCUGGGUUCAAUCCCCAGGACCCCCU